RNAcentral lists this small RNA (347 nucleotides) under Histoplasma capsulatum var. duboisii H88. Its description in RNAcentral is "Histoplasma capsulatum H88 hypothetical RNA". The record is from RNAcentral. Lineage: Eukaryota; Fungi; Ascomycota; Eurotiomycetes; Onygenales; Ajellomycetaceae.
AGCUCGGGACCCAAAUGAGAUAGAAUCCGAUGAUUAAAAAAAAAAGCGAAUUACGUACAGGCAGGUGCUUGUACUAAAAGAACAGAAAGAUUAAAUGCGAAGGGCGCAUUGAUUUUUAGGCCGAAUGGGUACGUUUCAUCAACACCAAGAGCCGUGUGCGGUUGUGCGAUCUCAAAAGGCGUAACUGCGUGAGUUUCGUCAAACCAAACCAUAGCGUCGAAUUGGAGAGACAGAGAAGCUGCGGAAUAAUGAGACCUCAUUUCGGUUUGAGGUCGAUAUACAACCCCGAUAAAUCUUUCUUUUCGUUCCUAAGCCAAAGCUCGUCGGAGCUCAGGGUCUGCUUGAUU